Molecule: ribosomal RNA, 253 nt
Filed under: uncultured bacterium
Lineage: Bacteria
Description: partial 16S ribosomal RNA
Rfam family: Bacterial small subunit ribosomal RNA
Source: RNAcentral
UACGUAGGGAGCAAGCGUUGUCCGGAAUCAUUGGGCGUAAAGCGCGCGUAGGUGGCCACAUAAGUCCGUUGUGAAAGUCAAAGGCUCAACCUUUGAAAGCCGAUGGAUACUGUGUGGCUAGAGUACGGAAGAGGCGAGUGGAAUUCCUGGUGUAGCGGUGGAAUGCGCAGAUAUCAGGAGGAACACCAAUAGCGAAGGCAGCUCUCUGGGACGGUACUGACGCUGAGACGCGAAAGCGUGGGGAGCGAACAGG